GAUCAUGGCUCAGGAUGAACGCUAGCUACAGGCUUAACACAUGCAAGUCGAGGGGAAACGACAUCGAAAGCUUGCUUUGAUGGGCGUCGACCGGCGCACGGGUGAGUAACGCGUAUCCAACCUGCCCAUCACUUGGGAAUAACCUUGCGAAAGUAAGACUAAUACCCAAUGAUAUCCCACGAAGGCAUCCGAAUGGGAUUAAAGAUUUAUCGGUGAUGGAUGGGGAUGCGUCUGAUUAGCUUGUUGGCGGGGUAACGGCCCACCAAGGCGACGAUCAGUAGGGGUUCUGAGAGGAAGGUCCCCCACAUUGGAACUGAGACACGGUCCAAACUCCUACGGGAGGCAGCAGUGAGGAAUAUUGGUCAAUGGGCGAGAGCCUGAACCAGCCAAGUAGCGUGCAGGACGACGGCCCUAUGGGUUGUAAACUGCUUUUAUAAGGGAAUAAAGUGAGUCUCGUGAGACUUUUUGCAUGUACCUUAUGAAUAAGGACCGGCUAAUUCCGUG
Molecule: ribosomal RNA, 504 nt
Filed under: uncultured bacterium
Lineage: Bacteria
Description: bacterial SSU rRNA
Rfam family: Bacterial small subunit ribosomal RNA
Source: RNAcentral